This 240-nucleotide ribosomal RNA is filed under the name uncultured bacterium. RNAcentral's name for it is "partial 16S ribosomal RNA". It matches the Rfam family "Bacterial small subunit ribosomal RNA", at positions 524 to 763 of the family's 1533-position model. The record is from RNAcentral.
UACGUAGGGUGCAAGCGUUACUCGGAAUUACUGGGCGUAAAGCGUGCGCAGGCGGUUGUGCAAGACAGAUGUGAAAUCCCCGGGCUCAACCUGGGAACUGCAUUUGUGACUGCACGGCUGGAGUGCGGCAGAGGGGGAUGGAAUUCCGCGUGUAGCAGUGAAAUGCGUAGAUAUGCGGAGGAACACCGAUGGCGAAGGCAAUCCCCUGGGCCUGAACUGACGCUCAUGCACGAAAGCGUG